Molecule: ribosomal RNA, 497 nt
Filed under: uncultured bacterium
Lineage: Bacteria
Description: partial 16S ribosomal RNA
Rfam family: Bacterial small subunit ribosomal RNA
Source: RNAcentral
GGGGGGGGGGGGGGGGGGGGGGGGGAGGUGGAGGGCGGGCGAAGAGGCGGGGAGCGUGCUCCUCUGACGUUAGCGGCGGGCGGGGGGGUAACACGGGGAUAACCUACCUAUAGGACUGGGAUAACGUCGGGGAAACGGAGCUAAUACCGGAUAAUGUAUUGAACCGCAGGGUUCAAUAGUGAAAGACGGUUUGGCUUUCACUGAUAGAUGGCUCCGCGCCGCAUUAGCUAGUUGGUAAGGUAACGGAUUACCAAGGCAACGAUGCGUAGCCGACCUGAGAGGGUGAUCGGCCACACGUGAACGGAGACACGGUCCAGACUCCUACGGGAGGCAGCAGUAGGGAAUCUUCCGCAAUGGGCGAAAGCCUGACGGAGCAACGCCGCGUGAGUGAUGAAGGUCUUCGGAUCGUAAAACUCUGUUAUUAGGGAAGAACAAAUGUGUAAGUAACUAUGCACGUCUUGACGGGACCUAAUCAGAAAGCCACGGCUAACUACGUG